CCUACGGGCGGCUGCAGUGGGGAAUAUUGCGCAAUGGGGGAAACCCUGACGCAGCGACGCCGCGUGAGCGAAGAAGGCCUUAGGGUUGUAAAGCUCUGUUUUAGGGGACGAAUGUUAUGGGGAGUAAUAUGCCCUGUAAAUGACGGUACCCUAAGAGGAAGCCCCGGCUAACUACGUGCCAGCAGCCGCGGUAAGACGUAGGGGGCGAGCGUUGUCCGGAAUUACUGGGCGUAAAGAGCACGUAGGCGGGAACUUAAGUCAGGUGUGAAAGACCGAGGCUCAACCUCGGGUAUGCACUUGAAACUGGGUUUCUUGAGGGCAGGAGAGGAAAGCAGAAUUCCUGGUGUAGCGGUGAAAUGCGUAGAAAUCAGGAGGAAUACCAGUGGCGAAGGCGGCUUUCUGGACUGAUCCUGACGCUGAGGUGCGAAAGCGUGGGUAGCAAACAGGAUUAGAUACCCCUGUAGUC
RNAcentral lists this ribosomal RNA (466 nucleotides) under uncultured Syntrophomonas sp. RNAcentral's name for it is "bacterial SSU rRNA". It matches the Rfam family "Bacterial small subunit ribosomal RNA", at positions 338 to 795 of the family's 1533-position model. Lineage: Bacteria; Bacillati; Bacillota; Clostridia; Eubacteriales; Syntrophomonadaceae. The record is from RNAcentral.